This 118-nucleotide ribosomal RNA is filed under the name Vibrio natriegens NBRC 15636 = ATCC 14048 = DSM 759. Its description in RNAcentral is "partial 23S ribosomal RNA". The stretch from base 1 to 100 matches the Rfam family "Bacterial large subunit ribosomal RNA", at positions 2826 to 2925 of the family's 2925-position model. Lineage: Bacteria; Pseudomonadati; Pseudomonadota; Gammaproteobacteria; Vibrionales; Vibrionaceae. The record is from RNAcentral.
CCUAAAGGGUUGUCGUAGACUACGACGUUGAUAGGCAGGGUGUGUAAGCGUUGUGAGGCGUUGAGCUAACCUGUACUAAUUGCCCGUGAGGCUUAACCAUACAACACCCAAGGGGUUU